Molecule: ribosomal RNA, 496 nt
Filed under: uncultured bacterium
Lineage: Bacteria
Description: partial 16S ribosomal RNA
Rfam family: Bacterial small subunit ribosomal RNA
Source: RNAcentral
GAUGAACGCUGGCGGCGUGCCUAAUACAUGCAAGUCGAGCGAACAGACGAGGAGCUUGCUCCUCUGACGUUAGCGGCGGACGGGUGAGUAACACGUGGAUAACCUACCUAUAAGACUGGGAUAACUUCGGGAAACCGGAGCUAAUACCGGAUAAUAUAUUGAACCGCAUGGUUCAAUAGUGAAAGACGGUUUUGCUGUCACUUAUAGAUGGAUCCGCGCCGCAUUAGCUAGUUGGUAAGGUAACGGCUUACCAAGGCAACGAUGCGUAGCCGACCUGAGAGGGUGAUCGGCCACACUGGAACUGAGACACGGUCCAGACUCCUACGGGAGGCAGCAGUAGGGAAUCUUCCGCAAUGGGCGAAAGCUUGACGGAGCAACGCCGCGUGAGUGAUGAAGGUCUGCGGAUCGUAAAACUCUGUUAUUAGGGGAGAACAAAUGUGUAAGUAACUAUGCACGUCUUGACGGUACCUAAUCAGAAAGCCACGGCUAACUACGU